AUUGAACGCUGGCGGCAGGCUUAACACAUGCAAGUCGAGCGAGCGGCGGACGGGUGAGUAAUGUCUGGGAAACUGCCUGAUGGAGGGGGAUAACUACUGGAAACGGUAGCUAAUACCGCAUACCAUCAGAUGUGCCCAGAUGGGAUUCGCUAGUAGGUGGGGUAAUGUCUCACCUAGGCGACGAUCCCUAGCUGGUCUGAGAGGAUGACCGGCCACACUGGAACUGUGACACGGUCCAGACUCCUACGGGAGGAAGCAGUGGGGAAUAUUGGACAAUGGGCGAAAGCCUGAUGCAGCCAUGCCGCGUGUGUGAAGAGGGCCUUCGGGUUGUAAAGCACUUUCAGCGUGGAGGCGUUACUCGCAGAAGAAGCGCCGGCUAACUCCGUGCCAGCCGCCGCGGUAAUUC
RNAcentral lists this ribosomal RNA (406 nucleotides) under uncultured bacterium. RNAcentral describes it as "partial 16S ribosomal RNA". It matches the Rfam family "Bacterial small subunit ribosomal RNA", at positions 30 to 526 of the family's 1533-position model. The record is from RNAcentral.